ACACACACACACACACAUAUAGAGUUUUGCCACAUGUUUAUCGAAUUUUAAUAAAAAAUUUGAUGUGCUUUUCAACAAUGUGCAUGUUGAUUAUUUUUUCCUUUUGCAUAAUUGUGUAAUAUUUUUCAUUAACUUUGUGUUUGGAUGAAAAAUUUAAAUGUGAGAUUUGAAUGUGAUAAAAUUAUAAAUUUUCUUUAAUUGAUUAAAGUCAUGGAUUUAUA
RNAcentral lists this unclassified non-coding RNA (221 nucleotides) under Hevea brasiliensis (rubber tree). Lineage: Eukaryota; Viridiplantae; Streptophyta; Magnoliopsida; Malpighiales; Euphorbiaceae. The record is from RNAcentral.